GCGAGCCGUAUGCGGUGAGAGUCGCACGUACGGUUACGAAGGGGGUUCACGUCUAUACGUUACGUGUGGUGGUUGGGCCUACCCUAU
Amborella trichopoda is the source of this 87-nucleotide non-coding RNA. The record is from Rfam. Lineage: Eukaryota; Viridiplantae; Streptophyta; Magnoliopsida; Amborellales; Amborellaceae.